UUGCUUUGGCAGCACAUGUACUAAAAUUGGAAUGAUGCAGAGAAAGUUAGCAUGGCUGCUGUGCAAGGAUGACAUGCAGAUUCAUGAGGCAUUCCACAGUUAA
Small nuclear RNA from Protopterus annectens (West African lungfish), 103 nucleotides. NCBI's taxonomy places the organism in Eukaryota, Metazoa, Chordata, Ceratodontiformes, Protopteridae. The record is from RefSeq and is a predicted model, not a curated record.